RNAcentral lists this ribosomal RNA (601 nucleotides) under Stenotrophomonas sp. Its description in RNAcentral is "bacterial SSU rRNA". It matches the Rfam family "Bacterial small subunit ribosomal RNA", at positions 60 to 650 of the family's 1533-position model. Lineage: Bacteria; Pseudomonadati; Pseudomonadota; Gammaproteobacteria; Lysobacterales; Lysobacteraceae. The record is from RNAcentral.
AGUCGAACGGCAGCACAGGAGAGCUUGCUCUCUGGGUGGCGAGUGGCGGANGGGUGAGGAAUACAUCGGAAUCUACUCUGUCGUGGGGGAUAACGUAGGGAAACUUACGCUAAUACCGCAUACGACCUACGGGUGAAAGCAGGGGAUCUUCGGGCCUUGCGCGAUUGAAUGAGCCGAUGUCGGAUUAGCUAGUUGGCGGGGUAAAGGCCCACCAAGGCGACGAUCCGUAGCUGGUCUGAGAGGAUGAUCAGCCACACUGGAACUGAGACACGGUCCAGACUCCUACGGGAGGCAGCAGUGGGGAAUAUUGGACAAUGGGCGCAAGCCUGAUCCAGCCAUACCGCGUGGGUGAAGAAGGCCUUCGGGUUGUAAAGCCCUUUUGUUGGGAAAGAAAUCCAGCUGGCUAAUACCCGGUUGGGAUGACGGUACCCANAGAAUAAGCACCGGCUAACUUCGUGCCNGCAGCCGCGGUAAUACGAANGGUGCAAGCGUUACUCGGANUUACUGGGCNUAAAGCGUGCGUAGGUGGUCGUUUAAGUCCGUUGUGAAAGCCCUGGGCUCAACCUGGGAACUGCAGUGGAUACUGGGCGACUAGAGUGUG